Molecule: long non-coding RNA, 1227 nt
Filed under: Vigna radiata
Lineage: Eukaryota; Viridiplantae; Streptophyta; Magnoliopsida; Fabales; Fabaceae
Description: long non-coding RNA (VRAD_LNC018638)
Source: RNAcentral
GAUCGUCAAUGGCCAAAGGCUCAAGCACUAUGUGGGAGGAGAUGUGGAGCAAUUUGCCUCAGUCAUGAUGUUGGUAGAUCCAUGAGGUUUGGGUCAGGCUCGUGACGUUAAACAAGUGCUACUAGGAGGCAACCUGGUUUUCUCUCUUUUACUUUUACUUUUUAAAUUUCUAGAAUAGGUUGAAUUUUAAUUUUAGUGUGUAUUCUUGGCUUGAAUACUUUUUCUGAAAAUGUUGACUGACUGAUGUGCAUGAUGGAACUAUUUGAUGAUUAUUUGAUGUGGAUGAUAAUUGAGUUGUGUUGUGUGUGAAUAUCCAGUGAAACAGAUGUGUGAUGAAUUAUGAUUGUGGUUAUGAUGCUAAGCAGGGUGUAUGAAUGGAUUGUGUGUGAGAAAGCAUGUUGUGUGAGGUAUUGAGCUCUAGAGUUUUUAUUGUUGUAUGCAUUAUUCACUCGAAAGCAUGAAUGAUAUUGCCUUAAUCUUGAUGAUUGAUUGAAUUGCAUGUGAAUGUCAUAUGAUCAAGGCCAUUUUUGAGAACCCUUCUCUAGCCAAAUGUUCACCCAAAGUGCCUGAAAAUAUUAUACCCUUUUUGAACCUUAGCCUUAAACAAGAUGUGAACGCUUGUCUUGAAAUUCUUUACCUUGAGUUGGGAUGAGCUUAAUUGUAUGCGAUGAAAAGGUUCAAGUUUGGGGUUGUAUGGGGGAAAAUUGAAAAGCAAUUGUAAAGCAUUGAGCUNAAAUGUUGAGAAAGAAAAAUGCAUGAUAAAAAGAAAAGAAAAGAAGAAAAGCAUGAAAGUGAGCUCAAUGUAAAAGAAAAGGGAAGAAGUUGGGAAUAAGUGGGAUUGGUGAAAAAGAGAGUUGUGCUUACAUUUUGAAUAUCAUGGUAGCUCUCUUAACUCAAGGACUUUGUAUCCAGAAAAACCAAUUCUUCUUGUUAGCCUAACCUCAUUACAAGCCUUGGAAAAGUCCUUUUGAUGGCAUUUGCAUGUAAAGAUAUUGAUUGUUUGAGAUGAAUGGCAAUUUUGUUUCAUGUGACUUGUGAAUAAUAGAGAGUUGGAGUGUUACCUUAAACACUUGAGUGAUUGAGUGAAACACUUGCUUGGUAUGAACUGUUAAUUUUCAUGAGUGCAUUUUUGCUUAGUGGAUUGAUCAUUCAUAACGUGUAACAUUUGUUGUGCAAUCUCUAGAUCGAAAGCAUGCAUGCAUUCUAAUUUGAUUUCACUGUAGAUUU